AAAAAAAAGAGGGACGAAAGAUACCAAAUGGACAGUCAAACUCAUAAAUCUAAAACAAACUGACAACGCCAUGGCUAAAAAUGAAAAAGACAAACAGAAAAACAAUAGUACACACGACACAACAUAGAAAACUAAAGAAUAAACUACACGAACCCCACCAAAAACUAGGGGUGAUCUCAGGUGCUCCGGAAGGGUAAGCAGAUCCUGCUCCACAUGUGGCAUCCGUCGUGUUGCUUAUGUGAUUACAAAUCCGGUAAAUAGUCUAAUUCGGUAGGUCAUAUUCAUGAAAGGGAAGGGGAUUGUAGUUACGACGUAAGGAACAUAUCCGAUAUCAUUUGUGAAACGGUUAUUCCAUAACGGUCAACCAACUCGUGAUGGCGUCC
Molecule: long non-coding RNA, 383 nt
Filed under: Mytilus galloprovincialis (Mediterranean mussel)
Lineage: Eukaryota; Metazoa; Mollusca; Bivalvia; Mytilida; Mytilidae
Source: RNAcentral